Limulus polyphemus (Atlantic horseshoe crab) is the source of this 693-nucleotide long non-coding RNA. RefSeq lists it as uncharacterized. NCBI's taxonomy places the organism in Eukaryota, Metazoa, Arthropoda, Merostomata, Xiphosura, Limulidae. The record is from RefSeq and is a predicted model, not a curated record. The transcript is spliced from 3 exons.
GCCGGGGUGAAACAGGCUGGUCGUUGGACAAGUGAUAUAAGGCGACGUUUGAUAGUGUUCAGUCUAUAUAAAGUGUCCGGACACACACUUUUAGCGUCGUUUCAACAGCGCCUUUCUGGCAUUUUCCUCUCAGACCGCUUCCUUUUCCUUACUGCAAGUUCCUCUGCUGGAGUAAACAAGUUAUUGCAGCUCGCGCCACGUGCCCCCAACGACGCGAACAUUCAGCUACCGUAGCUGAGAAUGCGAUCCCGCGAAAUCCGGACUCGGGUCAAGGGUCCUCACGGGUCCUCUGUUUUUACUAACUAGAGCGAAUGUGGCCGGUGGAAAGGUCAAUAGAGCUUUCUUCAAAUUAUAGUAGUGACAACGUUUCAAGGGGCAGAGGUUACAGUAGGUGUUGUUCAAAGAAAAAUAUCGACUGGUAAAUACAUGUGAGUUUUUUAAUAGUUUUUGGAAAACGACUGUGUGUUUGUUCACCGUGGUCUGUUAAGAUUAUUUAAGAUGACGGAAUAAUCUGCAUACUUUCAACUAGAUAUUGAAGGAUCCUUUGUAAAUGAAGUAUAAACGGGACGGAAAGACUAAUUUCAAGUAGCUGGGCUUGUCUCGUCGUUCCCGUGUUAUGCUUGAAUAAAUCUUCAGGAGAAAGGGAGAAGUUUGGGAGUAAGAACUAUAUAAGAACAUUUAAGGUAGGGUGUA